Molecule: ribosomal RNA, 253 nt
Filed under: uncultured bacterium
Lineage: Bacteria
Description: partial 16S ribosomal RNA
Rfam family: Bacterial small subunit ribosomal RNA
Source: RNAcentral
UACAGAGGGGGCAGGCGUUGUUCGGAAUUACUGGGCGUAAAGGGCGCGUAGGCGGCCUGUUAAGUCGAACGUGAAAUCCCCGGGCUCAACCCGGGAACUGCGUCCGAUACUGGCAGGCUUGAAUCCGGGAGAGGGAUGUGGAAUUCCAGGUGUAGCGGUGAAAUGCGUAGAUAUCUGGAGGAACACCGGUGGCGAAGGCGGCAUCCUGGACCGGUAUUGACGCUGAGGCGCGAAAGCGUGGGGAGCAAACAGG